RNAcentral lists this ribosomal RNA (481 nucleotides) under uncultured bacterium. Its description in RNAcentral is "partial 16S ribosomal RNA". It matches the Rfam family "Bacterial small subunit ribosomal RNA", at positions 28 to 523 of the family's 1533-position model. The record is from RNAcentral.
GAUGAACGCUGGCGGCGUGCUUAACACAUGCAAGUCGAACGAUGAAGCCCAGCUUGCUGGGUGGAUUAGUGGCGAACGGGUGAGUAACACGUGAGUAACCUGCCCUUGACUCUGGGAUAAGCCUGGGAAACUGGGUCUAAUACCGGAUAGGAACGUCCACCGCAUGGUGGUUGUUGGAAAGAUUUAUCGGUCAUGGAUGGACUCGCGGCCUAUCAGCUUGUUGGUGAGGUAAUGGCUCACCAAGGCGACGACGGGUAGCCGGCCUGAGAGGGUGACCGGCCACACUGGGACUGAGACACGGCCCAGACUCCUACGGGAGGCAGCAGUGGGGAAUAUUGCACAAUGGGCGAAAGCCUGAUGCAGCGACGCCGCGUGAGGGAUGACGGCCUUCGGGUUGUAAACCUCUUUCAGUAGGGAAGAAGCGAAAGUGACGGUACCUGCAGAAGAAGCACCGGCUAACUACGUGCAGCCGCCGCCGUAA